Molecule: unclassified non-coding RNA, 539 nt
Filed under: Hevea brasiliensis (rubber tree)
Lineage: Eukaryota; Viridiplantae; Streptophyta; Magnoliopsida; Malpighiales; Euphorbiaceae
Source: RNAcentral
AGGUGCCUCAAAAGUUUUCUAUUUUAGUCUUUUCACAUUUAGUCUUUUAGUCUUUGCCGUUACUGUAUUUUUUUUUUUUCUGGGUUUUCUUUGUAGGCUGUGGUUCUUCACAUCUCAGUAUUUUAUUUGGUGAUGUAGUCAAGAUUUUUACUUCUAAUUGAAUUGUUGUCAUUUCUGGGCUAAUUGUGAAUAUUAAUCUAUUCUUGAACUUUAGAUGUUGAACUUUAGAUCUUCAACCUAUAAUUACUUGGCUUUCGUUUGCCAAUGUGUAGAAAAUUUUCUUUUCCAGUAAUUUAUAGUAUAAUUAAUGCAUUUAACAAGAUAAUGUCUAACACAAGUUGAAUUUGGUAUUUUGUUCUUGUUUUGGGGAAUACUUAGCUCAAAAUAUUGGUUGGAGAUUUCCCAUUGCACUUUACUUGCUAAAAAGCAGCAGAAAUAUUCCCAAAUGUGAUAUAGUAAAAAAUUGCAUUCAUCUGAAUCUCCAACAUGUGUGGAUCUUUACAAUCUGAAUGGCACAUAUACUUACAUUUCAUACUCUG